RNAcentral lists this ribosomal RNA (253 nucleotides) under uncultured bacterium. RNAcentral describes it as "partial 16S ribosomal RNA". It matches the Rfam family "Bacterial small subunit ribosomal RNA", at positions 524 to 776 of the family's 1533-position model. The record is from RNAcentral.
UACGGGGGGGGCAAGCGUUGUUCGGAAUUACUGGGCGUAAAGGGCACGUAGGUGGCCAACUAAGUCAGACGUGAAAUCCCUCGGCUUAACCGGGGAACUGCGUCUGAUACUGGAUGGCUUGAGGUUGGGAGAGGGAUGCGGAAUUCCAGGUGUAGCGGUGAAAUGCGUAGAUAUCUGGAGGAACACCGGUGGCGAAGGCGGCAUCCUGGACCAAUCCUGACACUGAGGAGCGAAAGCCAGGGGAGCAAACGGG